CAUGCAAGUCGCGGGGCAUCAUGGAUUCAGCUUGCUGAGUCUGAUGGCGACCGGCGCACGGGUGAGUAACGCGUAUCCAACCUACCCCUGUCCACGGGAUAGCCCGUCGAAAGACGGAUUAAUACCGUAUGAGGUCACAUGCUGGCAUCAAAGUGUGACGAAAGGUUUGGCGGACAGUGAUGGGGAUGCGUCCGAUUAGCUUGUUGGCGGGGUAACGGCCCACCAAGGCAUCGAUCGGUAGGGGUUCUGAGAGGAAGGUCCCCCACAUUGGAACUGAGACACGGUCCAAACUCCUACGGGAGGCAGCAGUGAGGAAUAUUGGUCAAUGGCCGAGAGGCUGAACCAGCCAAGUAGCGUGCAGGACGACGGCCCUAUGGGUUGUAAACUGCUUUUAUGCGGGGAUAAAGUUCGGGACUUGUCCCGUUUUGCAGGUACCGCAUGAAUAAGGACCGGCUAAUUCCGUGCCAGCAGCCGCGGUAAUACGGAAGGUCCGGGCGUUAUCCGGAUUUAUUGGGUUUAAAGGGAGCGUAGGCUGGUGUUUAAGCGUGUUGUGAAAAGCCGUCGCUCAACGACGGCCGUGCAGCGCGAACUGGACGCCUUGAGUGCGCUGAAAGUGGGCGGAAUUUGUGGUGUAGCGGUGAAAUGCUUAGAUAUCACGAAGAACUCCGAUUGCGAAGGCAGCUCACUGUAUCGCGACUGACGCUGAAGCUCGAAAGUGCGGGUAUCGAACAGGAUUAGAUACCCUGGUAGUCCGCACGGUAAACGAUGGAUGCCCGCUGUCCGGCCUUUAGGCUGGGUGGCCAAGCGAAAGCGUUAAGCAUCCC
This 824-nucleotide ribosomal RNA is filed under the name uncultured Prevotella sp. RNAcentral's name for it is "bacterial SSU rRNA". It matches the Rfam family "Bacterial small subunit ribosomal RNA", at positions 54 to 870 of the family's 1533-position model. The record is from RNAcentral. Lineage: Bacteria; Pseudomonadati; Bacteroidota; Bacteroidia; Bacteroidales; Prevotellaceae.